This is a long non-coding RNA of Herpailurus yagouaroundi (jaguarundi), 1308 nucleotides long. RefSeq lists it as uncharacterized. NCBI's taxonomy places the organism in Eukaryota, Metazoa, Chordata, Mammalia, Carnivora, Felidae. The transcript is spliced from 4 exons. The record is from RefSeq and is a predicted model, not a curated record.
UACUGAUGAGUUUCUUUGCUGGAGCAUCACAAGGGAUUCUGAUUUUGAUUCUGUUAAAAUUCUGGCCAAGAGCUUCAUGUGCAGAGCUUCACAUGUUAAUUGGUGGAUCAGACAUUAGGAAAGUUAAACAGGACACUGGCAUAAAACUAGUCUCAUUGAACUGUGCAGUUCUUCUGCUAAUGGAGCCAACACAUGAAGAGUUAUCACUUCACUUUUCAUUUGUCCAAAAGAAAACUUGGAAUCCAAAGUGGGCGAAGUUAAUGAAGAAAAUCAUCUGAGAAAAAACGUGUGACUGUUGGAAUAAACUUGAAGUAGGCCAAAAUAGAGAACUUCAUUUGGCAGACAUUCUGGAAACAGAAUGCUUCUGAGCCUUGGGAGUGUCUGAAUGUUCACAAUGAUACUGAACUUCAGGACAUGGAGUGUGGUGGAUGGACUGUAGAAGACUGGUGUUGUGGGUAGGAAGAAAAAGUCAGAGGUUAUGUUGUCACCUCUGUGAACAAUAAUGAAUGUGGAUUAAAGGAGUUGAGUUGACUCUGUCAGCCCUUCUGGAGCCCACAACUGAGCAGGGAUAGCUCAGUGAACAUCAAGCCAGAGUAUGAGACCUUUCAGAGUGCAGACAGAGGAUGCACCAAGGGGUGUGGUAGGGUGAAGUUUCCAGUGAUGGUGGCUGGGGCAUCCAACUGAGGGAGUUAAAUAAAGGGUUGUAUGGAGUAAAGAGUGUCUGGAUUAGAGAGGCGGAUUGAGUUCAGGACAAGGAUAGAUUCCUUAGAGAAGGCUCCUUUCAAAGACCUAAUUCUGGAAGGAAUUUUCUUGGGGUAGAAUAAAGCAGCAACUAUACUAACUAAAGGUCCCAGUUUCUAUUACACUGGCUGCAAUGUAGACAUAUGUCUACUUCAUACCUCUGAAUCUUUGAUAUGUCGGGUCAGUGAAGGGAUGAAAACUAUUCACCCCAGUUAUAUCAUAGAGCUGUGUGAUGAUUAAUUUUACGCACCAACCUAGCUAGGCUAUGGUACAAACACAACAGAUGUUGCUGUAAAAAUAUUUUUUAGAUGUGAUUAACAUUUAAGUCAGUAGACUUUGAGGAAAGCAGACUAUCCUCCAUAAUGUGGGCAGGCCUCAUCUAAUCAGUUGAAGGCCUUAAGAAAAAAGGCUGAGAUCUCUAGAAGAGGAAGAAAUUCUGCCUUCAGACUGCCUUUGCACUCAUGACUGUAACACUGAUACCUGCCAGACUUUCCAGCCUGAUACUGCCCCCAUAAUUGCAUUAACCAAUUGCUUAAAACAAAAAUAAAUCUCUCUGUCAUAUACAUA